UGGCUCUCGCAUCGAUGAAGAACGCAGCGAAAUGCGAUAAGUAAUGUGAAUUGCAGAAUUCAGUGAAUCAUCGAAUCUUUGAACGCACCUUGCGCUCCUUGGUAUUCCGAGGAGCAUGCCUGUUUGAGUGUCAUUAAAUUCUCAACCUCACCCGUUUUCUGAACGGUUCUGAGGCUUGGAUGUGGGGGUUUGUGUAGGCUGCCUCAGCGCGGUCUGCUCCCCUGAAAUGCAUUAGCGAGUUCAUUAGAAACUGAGCUCCGUCUAUUGGUGUGAUAAUUAUCUACGCCGUGGACAGGGUUUAGACUCGCUUCUAACCGUCCGCAAGGACAAUACCUUUGACAAUUUGACCUCAAAUCAGGUAGGACUACCCGCUGA
This 375-nucleotide unclassified non-coding RNA is filed under the name uncultured fungus. RNAcentral's name for it is "partial contains 5.8S ribosomal RNA and internal transcribed spacer 2". The stretch from base 1 to 133 matches the Rfam family "5.8S ribosomal RNA", at positions 22 to 154 of the family's 154-position model. Lineage: Eukaryota; Fungi. The record is from RNAcentral.